Molecule: ribosomal RNA, 1253 nt
Filed under: Acinetobacter sp.
Lineage: Bacteria; Pseudomonadati; Pseudomonadota; Gammaproteobacteria; Moraxellales; Moraxellaceae
Description: bacterial SSU rRNA
Rfam family: Bacterial small subunit ribosomal RNA
Source: RNAcentral
GGCGGACGGGUGAGUAAUGCUUAGGAAUCUGCCUAUUAGUGGGGGACAACAUCUCGAAAGGGAUGCUAAUACCGCAUACGUCCUACGGGAGAAAGCAGGGGAUCACUUGUGACCUUGCGCUAAUAGAUGAGCCUAAGUCGGAUUAGCUAGUUGGUGGGGUAAAGGCCUACCAAGGCGACGAUCUGUAGCGGGUCUGAGAGGAUGAUCCGCCACACUGGGACUGAGACACGGCCCAGACUCCUACGGGAGGCAGCAGUGGGGAAUAUUGGACAAUGGGGGGAACCCUGAUCCAGCCAUGCCGCGUGUGUGAAGAAGGCCUUAUGGUUGUAAAGCACUUUAAGCGAGGAGGAGGCUCUUUUGGUUAAUACCCAAGAUGAGUGGACGUUACUCGCAGAAUAAGCACCGGCUAACUCUGUGCCAGCAGCCGCGGUAAUACAGAGGGUGCAAGCGUUAAUCGGAUUUACUGGGCGUAAAGCGCGCGUAGGCGGCCAAUUAAGUCAAAUGUGAAAUCCCCGAGCUUAACUUGGGAAUUGCAUUCGAUACUGGUUGGCUAGAGUGUGGGAGAGGAUGGUAGAAUUCCAGGUGUAGCGGUGAAAUGCGUAGAGAUCUGGAGGAAUACCGAUGGCGAAGGCAGCCAUCUGGCCUAACACUGACGCUGAGGUGCGAAAGCAUGGGGAGCAAACAGGAUUAGAUACCCUGGUAGUCCAUGCCGUAAACGAUGUCUACUAGCCGUUGGGGCCUUUGAGGCUUUAGUGGCGCAGCUAACGCGAUAAGUAGACCGCCUGGGGAGUACGGUCGCAAGACUAAAACUCAAAUGAAUUGACGGGGGCCCGCACAAGCGGUGGAGCAUGUGGUUUAAUUCGAUGCAACGCGAAGAACCUUACCUGGCCUUGACAUAGUAGAAACUUUCCAGAGAUGGAUUGGUGCCUUCGGGAAUCUACAUACAGGUGCUGCAUGGCUGUCGUCAGCUCGUGUCGUGAGAUGUUGGGUUAAGUCCCGCAACGAGCGCAACCCUUUUCCUUACUUGCCAGCAUUUCGGAUGGGAACUUUAAGGAUACUGCCAGUGACAAACUGGAGGAAGGCGGGGACGACGUCAAGUCAUCAUGGCCCUUACGGCCAGGGCUACACACGUGCUACAAUGGUCGGUACAAAGGGUUGCUACCUAGCGAUAGGAUGCUAAUCUCAAAAAGCCGAUCGUAGUCCGGAUUGGAGUCUGCAACUCGACUCCAUGAAGUCGGAAUCGCUAGUAAUCG